AAGAUGGUAACACAUUUUCGAGAAGCCAUUAAGUUAGGGAACUCCCGCUAUUAACAAAAGCUAUACAAAAUAAUGAGCAAAGAUUUUAAACAAAAGUACAGACAGGAGUGGGAGUCUCAACCCGAUACAAAGACAUGGCUCUGCAGAAGUAAAAAUGCAGUGGACGUUGAUAUGUUGAUAUUUUGAGUCGAAUAGCAUCAAUAAGACAGCACGCUGCCACACACAAACAUAAGGAGAAAAAUAAGUUCUUGUGUGGCCAAUCUAAGAUUGAUUCGUUCGUGGAUGAUACAAGCAAAAGUGUUGCGACUAGAGUGAGGAGAGCUGAAUCGCUGUUUGUUGCUGCUGCAGCAGAGAACAACAUACCGUUCCGGGCAAUGGAUCAUCUUAGCAAUGUCAUCAAAAACGCAUUUCCUGACAGUGACAUUGCGCAAGGCUUUGCUUGCAAACGGACCAAGUCGGCAUCUUUGGCUUACAAUGUGAUGGCACCUGCUGCAAAGGAAAAACUGAGGAGUGAGGUUAAAAAGAGCGUGUGCCCAGCUGGAAAAACCAUGUUUUCGAUCAUCAUCGACGAGUCUACGGAUGUGACAUGUACUAAUUUACUAGCGUGCGCAGUAGUUAUUCGACACCAAGUACUUAUUUUCGAUUGAUUUGGAUGGCGAGAAAGCAGAGGACUUAUUCCAAGCUUUGGAUAAGGGACUUCAGGAAUUUGUGUUCAGCAUGGAGAACAUCAUAGAAUUUACAGCUGACACCACUAAUGUCAUGUUUGUGUUUGCCAUAUAAUAAUGGCUAUAAUAAUGAUACAAUUCAGGUUCUGCAGUCUAGAAGAUAUAGUC
Molecule: small RNA, 833 nt
Filed under: Drosophila pseudoobscura pseudoobscura
Lineage: Eukaryota; Metazoa; Arthropoda; Insecta; Diptera; Drosophilidae
Description: GA31549
Source: RNAcentral